This 497-nucleotide ribosomal RNA is filed under the name uncultured bacterium. RNAcentral describes it as "partial 16S ribosomal RNA". It matches the Rfam family "Bacterial small subunit ribosomal RNA", at positions 28 to 507 of the family's 1533-position model. The record is from RNAcentral.
GACGAACGCUGGCGGCGUGCCUAAUACAUGCAAGUAGAACGCUGAAGAGAGGAGCUUGCUCUUCUUGGAUGAGUUGCGAACGGGUGAGUAACGCGUAGGUAACCUGCCUUGUAUCGGGGGAUAACUAUUGGAAACGAUAGCUAAUACCGCAUAACAAUGGAUUACACAUUUCUUUUAUUUGAAAGUGGCAAUUGCUCCACUACAAGAUGGACCUGCGUUUUUUUAGCUAGUAGGUGAGGUAACGGCUCACCUAGGCGACGAUACAUAGCCGACCUGGGAGGGGGAUGGGCCAAAAUGGGAAGGGGACAAGGCCCAGAGUGCUACGGGAGGCAGCAGUAGGGAAUCUUCGGCAAUGGGGGGAACACAGACCGAGAAACGCCGAGUGAGUGAAGAAGGGUUUCGGAUCGUAAAGCUCUGUUGUAAGUCAAGAACGAGUGUGAGAGUGGAAAGUUGACAGUGUGACGGUAGCUGACCAGAAAGGGACGGCUAACUACGUG